Long non-coding RNA from Dromaius novaehollandiae (emu), 2234 nucleotides. RefSeq lists it as uncharacterized. The record is from RefSeq and is a predicted model, not a curated record. The transcript is spliced from 4 exons. NCBI's taxonomy places the organism in Eukaryota, Metazoa, Chordata, Aves, Casuariiformes, Dromaiidae.
UUUCUUUUCUUUCAUUUUCUUUCAUUUUCUUUCGUUUUCUUUCUUCUUUUUUUGUGACAGGAAAUUCACAGAACUAUUUUUGAAAUCAGACUUUUAGUAUUUUGCUCUUCUGUUUUCUUUCUGUGAUGUCUUGCUAGUUUCCAUUACGCUUGAUUGGCAUUUAAUUUCUAUUUCAAAUACUCAAAUGUUUUAGGACAAAUGCCCUAAAAAAUCUUUGGUACAUUUUGUAUUUGGAAAUCUCUGACUUCAAAUAGUUGCCUUAAAAGAUAAUGUCAUUUCCCAGUGCUCUAUCUUUCUGACUGUGUCAGAGAAGUUGUUUAAAUCCUGCAGAGCAUAUAAUGUUAUCCACACAGUCAAUGAUAGCAGUGAAUAACUUUUUAACUAAAUUUGCUGUUCAUAUUGAUUGCAAAUCUUCAUAUGACUCUGUAGCUCAGUGCUGAAAGGAAUGUUUUUCCACAUACAAGAUAACUUCCACGUACAGGACAAUGAUGCAACUUCUGUUCCUUUUCAUAUAUCCUCUAGGCCUUUUCUUCAGCUAAACAGAUUCAGCCUAUUUCAGAUCUAUUCAAGUCAUCAUUAGUCAGCUAUAACUUUUGUGCUUCCAGUUGUCAAUAGGUCAUUCUGCUCUUUUAUUAUUAUUAUUAUUAGCUGCUGAAGUGCCUUUUUUCAUAAGUGAGAAUUUUCCUGUCGAAUGCUUUUAGAUGAAGGACUCAACCACUUCAUUUACAGCUCAAUUGCAUUUUUAUCACUAUUUCCUUCAUGCCUGGUAUAUUUUCUCUUUUUACUUACUCAGUAUCUGGUACAUAAUAUAUGCAAUCCAAUGAAUUUCAUGGUCUUUUUGAAGCAAUAUAGUAGAAGAGAUUCAUUUUUUUUAAUGUGGGGACUGUGUGCAGUCCAGUUAUUAGACACCUACACUAGACACAUUGAACUGCUACCCUACAGACAUUCAUUCUUCUUGCCAAUUUAAUAUCCUUUUUUCCCCACAGAAUCUCACUUAAGAAUAUUUCAAAAGAACUUCUUCCUUUGAAAGAUCUAAGUUCAUUUUAUCAGAGGUAUGCUUCAGUUCCAGAGUAUCUCCAAAUUGAAGAUCAUGCAUUUUUGAUCAAUCAUUAUGUUUUGAUGCUAGAAGUCUGCUCUGGAUAAGAAGUCAUCUACAUACUUGCCUGUCCCUUUCCUGUAACAUACAGUACUUUUUCUGGUUUCAAGGACCACUUUGAAUAGACUUUGUCUGGAUAGCAUGAUCCGCCUGCGAGCAUAAAGUUUUGAAGCCAAGACAGUGUAGCAUUCAGGUUAUUUCCUUCAAAUGCAGUUUCCUCAUCUAUCAAAUAUAUCCUGAAAGGAAAACUCUGUUUCACAAAUAUUCAAAUGCCCUUAUUAAUUGCCUCUUUCUGAUGUCCUUAAUUUCUUUGGCUACCACUUAGCUGCUAAAUAAGAUUAAAAAAAGAAAAAAGAAAGAAAAAUAAACGAAAAGGAAAGGUUACAAGCAGAGGUGAAAAUUAUAUUCUUUCAUGAUGCUUCCCUCCUUCCUCAUCUGACACUAAGUUUCUUUUAGAUGUGCACGUACAUGGAGAGGGGGAUUAGCAUGCAAAUACAGUUCAAAAGAUUGUUUCAUAUCUUAUCUGUCAUGACUUACAUGUUUGAGUUUGCAUUCAAAAGAAACAAGACUUUUUCUCAAGGGGAGAAGCUAUUGUAGGUAUCACUUAUACAUAGAUGAAAAAAAAAUGUGAGGACAAUACCUGCUUGAUGAUCGGGAAAAGCUUUUCUAUUUGGAAAUAGGUGUUUUCAGAAUUGGAUUGGUCCCAGCAUCAUCAUUUUCUGCUGCUAUGAUUGAGUUGCUGCCAAAGAUUCAAUUUUGAAAAUGUCUCCAUGAAGAACGAAACUACCUAUUUAAAAAGAAAUGAUUCUACUUACAGUUUUGAUGAAACCUUUAAGCAGAAUAAAAACCUUUUUUUUUCCCUUGAGUUUCCAGUUUCUCUGUUUUGUACAACUUCAAAAUGAAAAGCUGUGACCAUGUCAAAGACUUCUCUGAGCAAAAAACUUGUUUGGCUUAAUGCUGUGCCUGAAAUUGCCAGUUCCAGCAGGCAAUUUUCUUAUUGUUUUUAUCAUGCUGCCAAUAUGGAUGCUUUUUUAUUUUAUUAAUAUGAAUAUAUAUCUUUCAGGUAUACAUUUUUGAGAACAUUAAAUUUAUUGCUUUAUAGUUCUGGAUUUUUACCUGAUAUGCACAUUAGACAUAU